UCCCGUGAGCCAAUAGCCCUGAGUUGUCUGUCCGUAAGGGACAGGGGACUCCGAGAGUGGGGAGGAGGUAGGACCCGUUUCGUUGACAAGGACACUGAGGUCCGUGGAAAGUAACUGCCCAGUUAAGGGCACCACGGCAAGAGUAUCCCCAUUUUGGACUUGAGGCACAGAAAAUUGAAGGCUGUCGCUGGGAAGGCCACCCAGCCAGAACUCCCAGCUCGGCUUAUUUCAGGGCUUACGACCCACCCCACAGGCUUCUUCCUCUAACAGGGAAAAUACCCUCCCACCAGGAAAGGUGAUACCCCAUCGCAGACCUGGAACCCCCCUGGGAGGCCGGAAUGCCCACCAGCUGUGGCCUGUGGGUCAGAAGGGAGCUAGUGAGGAGGGGCUAAAAAGUCUUGCCUCCCAGGAAGGGUGGGAGAGGCCCAGAGACCCAGAAGCCAGGCCCUGUGGCCGGGCAGCAGGAGGAGCAACUUGGCUGUCAGCUUCUUUAUCCAAACCAGGCUCCCUUUCCUCUAUCAGCAAUUCUUUCCUGAUGUCCAGGGGGUUGCAGACGCGUGGCCUUGGGCCAGGUUUAAUCUUUAGUGAGGUUUUGUUUGGCCGGCAAUGAGUAUGUGUUUUUUUGGGGGGGGGGGGUUGUUUUGUUUUUAUUGAAUAUGAGAGCUGACAGUGUGAGCUGUCUGAUUGCCCUCCCCAGUGUCAAAGGUCAGUGUGGUUAGACUAGUCCCCAAAGGCAUUUGGGUUUGAGACCCCUGAUUGAGACCAGUCCACUUGGCCUUGCCUUUAACCUUUCCUCAGGAGCCAGGAUUUUUGUCUGCACUAAUGCCACCCCCUGGAAGUCUGCACGUUUCUUGGUAAGCCUGCCUAGCUUUCCCACCCCAGAAGUCAUCACCUGAAAGCUACCCAGCCCAGUCCAUGCCUGGCACAAGCUCCCUCUGCUUGGAACUCAGGAGCUCCAUAAACAUCCAAAGAGGGAGGAAAGAGGUGCCUUGAACGGUCCAAGGGCUGCCGUAUGUAGGUUCUCCAGGGCCAGAGGGAGCAGGAGCACCAGCAGAAGGUCAGCCUAGGGAGUCAGAUUUCAGAUCAUCAAUAGUAAGGUUUUAGAAGUCAGAUGGUCAUAAUGUGGACCAGGCUGCCUCAGAAGACGGUAACCCAAUGAGGAGGACCUAGGAAUUUUGUUCUUGAGGAUUUCAUAUCGUCUGUUCUUAAAAUCCACCAGCAGUCACCAAGUUUGAGGCACUAUGGGAAAAUCGCAAAGACUAAUGUGAGACAUCAGGAAGGCUUCACAGUGCUGUCAUUUGAACUGAGCCUUGAAGGAUGGCUCAUGGACUUGUGACUCACAUAAUAGGCAAUGGUAGAGCAUGAGGACUAUUGCCCACAAGUGAAGGUGGCUGAGAAAUGAGCACAGGCUUUGGAAAGAAAGCAGAGGAGAAUCGGGAGUGACCGGAAAAGUGAACUGGAGCUAGAUCACAGUGGACUUCCCAUGCCAAGCUGAGUACUGGAAUUUUCUGUUGUUGGCAGUGGAAAGCCACUGAAGAUACUGGAGUAGAAAGUAUGCAAAGAUGAGCUCUGUGCCUAACAGGAAGGUUACUGAGGCUGCCUGUGGAGAAGCAAUGGGAGGGAAAAUAUGGGGACAGAAAACCACUGUCACAACAGUCCAAGUGAAAGAUACUCAUGAUGUCAUGGAUAAGGACAGGUCAAGAAGAUGGGAUGAAGGAAUGGAGACCACCUUAGAGCCAAGCAACAUUGCAGGGGUUGAUAAUGUUUUUAUUAAAACAAGGAAUAUUAUUUCAGUGUGAGUUUCUCUAGAAGUAGACCCUAAGAAAACUAUUUGGAUAUACUUUAUUUGGAAGGUGAUCUUAAGAAAUAACAGGAGAGAAGUAGGGAAUUCAAGCAGGAAAGUGAAGAUAGAAAAAAAAAAAAAAGAUGGGGGGAAUUAUAUCAAGUCAGUUAUCCCUGUGGGCAAUCGAAGGUCAAUCUUGCUGGAGGUCUCUGGGAAGACAUUGGAAAAAUGCACAUCUCUGAGUUUCCUUGAAGAGCAAAGGAGUAGGAGCUAUUUCUCAUCUGGCUCACACCAGCCAUUGUUUGAGGGUUGCUCCCGGGAGCACUUGCUCUGACCUUUUGGAAAGUCCUACAUGCAGGAGCAGGCUCGGGUAUAAAAGUUUCAGGUGCAGGAUGCCUGGGUGGCUCAGUCAGUUGAUCGUCUGCCUUUGGCUUGGGUCAUGAUUCCAGGGUCCUGGGAU
This is a long non-coding RNA of Mustela erminea (ermine), 2243 nucleotides long. RefSeq lists it as uncharacterized. The record is from RefSeq and is a predicted model, not a curated record. Lineage: Eukaryota; Metazoa; Chordata; Mammalia; Carnivora; Mustelidae. The transcript is spliced from 4 exons.